Molecule: ribosomal RNA, 468 nt
Filed under: uncultured bacterium
Lineage: Bacteria
Description: partial 16S ribosomal RNA
Rfam family: Bacterial small subunit ribosomal RNA
Source: RNAcentral
GACGAACGCUGGCGGCGUGCUUAACACAUGCAAGUCGAACGGAAAGGCCCUGCUUUUGUGGGGUGCUCGAGUGGCGAACGGGUGAGUAACACGUGAGUAACCUGCCCUUGACUUUGGGAUAACUUCAGGAAACUAGGGCUAAUACCGGAUCGGAGCUCCUGCUGCAUGGUGGGGGUUGGAAAGUUUCGGCGGUUGGGGAUGGACUCGCGGCUUAUCGACUUGCUGGUGGGGUAGUGGCUUACCAACGCUUUGACGGGUAGCCGGCCUGAGAGGGUGACCGGCCACAUGAGGACUGCGAUACGGCCCAGACUCGUACGGGAGGCAGCAGUGGGGAAUAUUGCACAAUGGGCGGAAGCCUGAUGAAGCAACGCCGCGUGCGGGAUGACGGCCUUCGGGUUGUAAACCGCUUCCGCCUGUGACGAAGCGUGAGUGACGGUAAUGAGUAAAGAAGCACCGGCUAACUACGUG